This 425-nucleotide ribosomal RNA is filed under the name bacterium. RNAcentral's name for it is "partial 16S ribosomal RNA". It matches the Rfam family "Bacterial small subunit ribosomal RNA", at positions 355 to 776 of the family's 1533-position model. The record is from RNAcentral.
UGGGGAAUAUUGCACAAUGGGCGCAAGCCUGAUGCAGCGACGCCGCGUGAGGGAUGGAGGCCUUCGGGUUGUAAACCUCUUUCGCCAGUGAAGCAGGCCAUCUUCUUUGUGGGGUGGUUGACGGUAGCUGGAUAAGAAGCGCCGGCUAACUACGUGCCAGCAGCCGCGGUAAUACGUAGGGCGCGAACGUUGUCCGGAAUUAUUGGGCGUAAAGAGCUCGUAGGCGGCUGGUCGCGUCUGUCGUGAAAUCCCCUGGCUUAACUGGGGGCUUGCGGUGGGUACUGGCCGGCUUGAGUGCGGUAGGGGAGACUGGAAUUCCUGGUGUAGCGGUGGAAUGCGCAGAUAUCAGGAGGAACACCGGUGGCGAAGGCGGGUCUCUGGGCCGUUACUGACGCUGAGGAGCGAAAGCGUGGGGAGCGAACAGG